CCUACGGGAGGCUGCAGUGGGGAAUAUUGCACAAUGGGCGAAAGCCUGAUGCAGCAACGCCGCGUGAAGGAAGAAGGGUUUCGGCUCGUAAACUUCUAUUAACAGGGACGAAUGAAAUAACGUAACUUGAGUAAGAAGCCCGGGCUAACAACGGGCCAGCACCCGCGGUAAUCCGUAGGGGGCAAGCGUUACCCGGAAUUAUUGGGUGUAAAGGGUGAGUAGGCGGCAUGAUAAGCCAGAUGUGAAAGCCUCGGGCUUAACACGAGAAUUGCAGUUGAAACUAUCAAGCUAGAGUACUGGAGAGGAAGACGGAAUUCCUAGUGUAGCGGUGAAAUGCGUAGAUAUUAGGAGGAACACCAGUGGCGAAGGCGGCUUUCUGGACUGAAACUGACGGUGAGGCGCGAAAGCGUGGGGAGCGAACAGGAUUAGAUACCCGUGUAGUC
RNAcentral lists this ribosomal RNA (443 nucleotides) under uncultured bacterium. RNAcentral describes it as "partial 16S ribosomal RNA". It matches the Rfam family "Bacterial small subunit ribosomal RNA", at positions 338 to 795 of the family's 1533-position model. The record is from RNAcentral.